GGACAACGUGCCCUAAAGUGGGGGAUAAUCAGGGGAAACUCUGGAUAAUACCCCAUAGAUCAUGAGAUCUGGAAUGACUUAUGGUUCAAAGUUCCGGCGCUUUAGGAUCGGUCUGCGGCCUAUCAGGUAGUAGUGGGUGUAAUGUACCCCCUAGCCUAUUACGGGUAUGGGCCUUGAGAGAGGGAGCCCAGAGUUGGAUUCUGAGACACGAAUCCAGGCCCUACGGGGCGCAGCAGUCGCGAAAACUUCACAAUGGGCGAAAGCCCGAUGAGGGAAUUCCUAGUGCUAGCACUUUUGUGUUAGCUUUUCUUUAGCGUAGAUAACUAGAGGAAUAAGGGCUGGGUAAGACGGGUGCCAGCCGCCGCGGUAAUACCCGCAGCCCGAGUGGUGGUCGAUUUUAUUGAGUCUAAAACGUUCGUAGCCGGUCUGAUAGAUCCUUGGGUAAAUCGGGAAGCUUAACUUUCCGACUUCCGAGGAGACUGUCAAACUUGGGACCGGGAGAGGCUAGAGGUACUUCUGGGGUAGGGGUAAAAUCCUGUAAUCCUAGAAGGACCACCGGUGGCGAAGGCGUCUAGCUAGAACGGAUCCGACGGUGAGGGACGAAGCCCUGGGUCGCAAACGGGAUUAGAUACCCCGGUAGUCUAGGGUGUAAACGCUGCCGACUUGGUGUUGGAGGCCCUUCGGGGGCAUUCAGUGCCGGAGAGAAGUUGUUAAGUCGGCCACUUGGGGAGUACGUCCGCAAGGAUGAAACUUAA
RNAcentral lists this ribosomal RNA (755 nucleotides) under uncultured archaeon. Its description in RNAcentral is "bacterial SSU rRNA". It matches the Rfam family "Archaeal small subunit ribosomal RNA", at positions 102 to 859 of the family's 1478-position model. The record is from RNAcentral.